This 429-nucleotide ribosomal RNA is filed under the name Chloroflexota bacterium. RNAcentral's name for it is "Chloroflexi bacterium partial 16S ribosomal RNA". It matches the Rfam family "Bacterial small subunit ribosomal RNA", at positions 355 to 776 of the family's 1533-position model. Lineage: Bacteria; Bacillati; Chloroflexota. The record is from RNAcentral.
UGGGGAAUAUUGCACAAUGGGCGCAAGCCUGAUGCAGCCAUGCCGCGUGUGUGAAGAAGGCCUUCGGGUUGUAAAGCACUUUCAGCGGGGAGGAAGGCGUUAAGGUUAAUAACCUUGGCGAUUGACGUUACCCGCAGAAGAAGCACCGGCUAACUCCGUGCCAGCAGCCGCGGUAAUACGGAGGGUGCAAGCGUUAAUCGGAAUUACUGGGCGUAAAGCGCACGCAGGCGGUCUGUCAAGUCGGAUGUGAAAUCCCCGGGCUCAACCUGGGAACUGCAUUCGAAACUGGCAGGCUAGAGGAUUGUAGAGGGGGGUAGAAUGCCAGGUGUAGCGGUGAAAUGCGUAGAGAUCUGGAGGAAUACCGGUGGCGAAGGCGGCCCCCUGGACAAAGACUGACGCUCAGGUGCGAAAGCGUGGGGAGCAAACAGG